GUGUUCCACGCUGUCGGUUCGCCGCCUGUCGGUGUUAACUGGCAUGUUCUGUGGAACGUCCUGCCGGUGGCGGUCCGGGCUCUCGUUCUGCGUAAGGGUCUCCCGAAGCAGGGCGAAAAGUUCCGGCCGCCGGUUCAAUCCCGCCACGGUGCUCUUCACCGAGUGUCGAGGUGGGCCGGCACUUUUACUUUGAACAAAUUAGAGUGCUUAAAGCAGGCGGUUUCCGCCUGAAUACUGUGUGCAUGGAAUAAUGGAAUAGGACCUCGGUUCUAUUUUGUUGGUUUUCAGAACCCGAGGUAAUGAUUAAUAGGGACAGGCGGGGGCAUUCGUAUUGCGACGUUAGAGGUGAAAUUCUUGGAUCGUCGCAAGACGAACCUAAGCGAAAGCAUUUGCCAAGUAUGUUCUCGUUAAUCAAGAACGAAAGUUAGAGGUUCGAAGGCGAUCAGAUACCGCCCUAGUUCUAACCAUAAACGAUGCCAGCCAGCGAUCCGCCGAAGUUCCUCCGAUGACUCGGCGGGCAGCUUCCGGGAAACCAAAGCUUUUGGGUUCCGGGGGAAGUAUGGUUGCAAAGCUGAAACUUAAAGGAAUUGACGGAAGGGCACCACCAGGAGUGGAGCCUGCGGCUUAAUUUGACUCAACACGGGAAACCUCACCAGGCCCGGACACCGGAAGGAUUGACAGAUUGAGAGCUCUUUCUUGAUUCGGUGGGUGGUGGUGCAUGGCCGUUCUUAGUUGGUGGAGCGAUUUGUCUGGUUAAUUCCGAUAACGAACGAGACUCUAGCCUGUUAACUAGGCGAUUUCCGGUACCCAUAAUAGUGUUACCGGCGAUUCAAUUUCUUCUUAGAGGGACAGGCGGCUUCUAGCCGCACGAGACUGAGCAAUAACAGGUCUGUAAUGCCCUUAGAUGUUCUGGGCCGCACGCGCGCUACACUGAAGGAAUCAGCGUGUCUUCCCUGGCCGACAGGCCCGGGUAACCCGUUGAACCUCCUUCGUGCUAGGGAUUGGGGCUUGCAAUUGUUCCCCAUGAACGAGGAAUUCCCAGUAAGCGCGAGUCAUAAGCUCGCGUUGAUUACGUCCCUGCCCUUUGUACACACCGCCCGUCGCUACUACCGAUUGAAUGAUUUAGUGAGGUCUUCGGACUGGUGCGCGGCUGUCGGGUCUCCGGCAGCCGAUGUUGCCGGGAAGAUGACCAAACUUGAUCAUUUAGAGGAAGUAAAAGU
RNAcentral lists this ribosomal RNA (1220 nucleotides) under Pectinariophyes stalii. RNAcentral describes it as "SSU rRNA". It matches the Rfam family "Eukaryotic small subunit ribosomal RNA", at positions 669 to 1789 of the family's 1831-position model. The record is from RNAcentral. Lineage: Eukaryota; Metazoa; Arthropoda; Insecta; Hemiptera; Machaerotidae.